AGGUAUGGCCUAAGUAAGCGGCGAAUUGAAGCGGCCAAAGCUCAAAUUUUGAAUCUGGCUCUUUCAGAGUCCGAGUUGUAAUUUGAAGAAGGUAUCUUUGGGUCUGGCUCUUGUCUAUGUUUCUUGGAACAGAACGUCACAGAGGGUGAGAAUCCCGUGCGAUGAGAUGAUCCAGGCCUAUGUAAAGUUCCUUCGAAGAGUCGAGUUGUUUGGGAAUGCAGCUCUAAGUGGGUGGUAAAUUCCAUCUAAAGCUAAAUAUUGGCGAGAGACCGAUAGCGAACAAGUACAGUGAUGGAAAGAUGAAAAGAACUUUGAAAAGAGAGUGAAAAAGUACGUGAAAUUGUUGAAAGGGAAGGGCUUGAGAUCAGACUUGGUAUUUUGUAUGUUACUUCUUCGGGGGUGGCCUCUACAGUUUAUCGGGCCAGCAUCAGUUUGGGCGGUAGGAGAAUUGCGUUGGAAUGUGGCACGGCUUCGGUUGUGUGUUAUAGCCUUCGUCGAUACUGCCAGCCUAGGACUGAGGACUGCGGUUUAUACCUAGGAUGUUGGCAUAAUGAUCUUAAGUCG
Molecule: ribosomal RNA, 564 nt
Filed under: Candida tropicalis
Lineage: Eukaryota; Fungi; Ascomycota; Pichiomycetes; Serinales; Debaryomycetaceae
Description: eukaryotic LSU rRNA
Rfam family: Eukaryotic large subunit ribosomal RNA
Source: RNAcentral